Long non-coding RNA from Xenia sp. Carnegie-2017, 969 nucleotides. RefSeq lists it as uncharacterized. The transcript is spliced from 2 exons. NCBI's taxonomy places the organism in Eukaryota, Metazoa, Cnidaria, Anthozoa, Malacalcyonacea, Xeniidae. The record is from RefSeq and is a predicted model, not a curated record.
UUCAACUAGAGGCCAAGGCCAAGACUUCCAGUAAUUAGGCCAAGGGCUCAGUGCCGUGGCAACGCAUGACGCAAGAAAAGUCACCAAAAUAAAAGAUUGGCCAUAUCGAAACGCAUUUCUCCGGAUAAAUGUCAAACUAUUGUCGCAAGGUGAAAUUUUGUAUAAAUGUAAACAAUAAUAAACUAUUGUCGUAAAUCUCCGUGGAUUUUAACGAUUACCUCACGGUACAAUAUCUAAUACAUUAAAAUCAUUAAAUCUCCGAGGGGUAAAGCCACUCAAUGCUACUUCAAUACAAAUACAAUCCUUAAAAAAAAGGCGUCAAGAUUUCGCAGAUGAUCAAUUCGUAUUUAUCUUCAGACGAGAUGCGUGAAUCACAAAGAUGGGUGAAGACAAUAGCUUAUUUUUGUUGCGUGCUACAGCAAUAAAAUGAUUACUUUAGUAAAUGCGCUUAACUCGUCACCAUCCCAGGAAUGUAUUGUUUUACGGUGGUUUUAAAUUGUUUACGUAUUCUCUUCACCUAAAAAUGCGGGUCGCAUAUCUUUCCAAUCAAAGUAGCCCUGGUUUUAGUUUUUAAUGUAUAGCUAGAAUAUCUUUUCAUCCUAGGAAAAAAGUUAUGCAUGAUUCUUGUAGAAAUGCUCGUUGAAAGUUGAUUCAAAAUAAAUCUAUGGACAUUCAAGACAAUGCAAGUGUUGAAAACCGUCGUUAAAACGCUUCAUGAGUUUUAAUUUUAACUUCCUUUUGCAAGUAGUGUGUACUAUCUUAGCAUAUUAAGUAGCUAACUUUGUGUACUCAUCUUUCUAAAACAAACUGUGUAUACUAUGCCCAUUCUUAAAUGUACGUAUUUAUUACUAUAUAUCCCAAUGUGUAUAUUUAUGUGUAAAUGCGUUUUUUAUUCUGUGCGUUUUGUGUUGUGUUUCAUGGUGUCUGAUAAUAAAAACUUCGAAAUAAAGUCAAAAAUCAACACUCAUA